Megalobrama amblycephala (Wuchang bream) is the source of this 1489-nucleotide long non-coding RNA. RefSeq lists it as uncharacterized. The transcript is spliced from 3 exons. The record is from RefSeq and is a predicted model, not a curated record. NCBI's taxonomy places the organism in Eukaryota, Metazoa, Chordata, Actinopteri, Cypriniformes, Xenocyprididae.
ACUCAGUUUGUAUUUUUAAUAAUGUUAAAAUGGUGUAAUAUUCAUGAAUUUGAUUAUGUAGGUGGGAACUUGCCGAGAGAGCCCGCCCACACGCUCUCCUGAUUGGCUGUGAUUUUUGAUUGGCUUUAUCGCGUCUCAGAGUGGCAUCGCGUCUGGUGUGGACGGUGUAAGUUGCAUUAAAUGUGAGUGUGAGAGUGUUUGACACUACUGCUGACCUGUCCUGAUGCAGGAUCUUCUCUGAAAAUGGAUGCUGUUGAUGUUGGCUUUAGUUUGCCAGCAGUUCAGUCUUGCUUGUCUUCAAGGUCUCUGAUGGUUUGUGCGGUAAGAAACGCUCACCGCAAAUGAUUUCUGCAGCGACAUGAAUGAGGGCUAGACUGAACCAUACACCAUAAUCUAAACACUUCAGCAAACACAAAAGAAGAUGUUUUGAAGGAUGAUUCGACUGUUUUGGUGCAUAUAAUGAAAGUUGAAGCAAUAUUGAACCCAGUGAACCUUUUAAAAUGUCUUUCCUUUACCCUUUAACAUGAUCGGAUCACUCAAGCCACACGGAUGGAUUCUGUCCAUGAAGGUGUAAAUGAAAAAGCACGUAUUAUGUAAUAAGAUUACGCUACAUAUAAUCAGACAAACUCUCGCUUGAUACGUGAGCGAUUUGCAGUUCAAUUAAGCUUAAAAAGAUCCAGAUCCAGUUUGAAACUAUUUUACAGGGCCUACAGUAAUAUGUCACCUGUUUGAUUUAGGUUGUUUUACAAGACGUCUCUCGGUUAGUGUUUGUUUAAUAUUGUGGAUUAUGCAGUGACCCCCAAAUAUGGGUCCAGUAUAAACAGGACAGACGCAUAUAUUUGCAUGUUGACAACCCGAACGACAAAAUGACUGUGUGUUUGACGUCUGACCAGAGCUUCUCUGAACGUCUCCCUCACAGCGUGACUUCUGAUUGGCUGGCAUGCGGCCGGGCCAGAAAUAAACAGUUUGUCUGGUUGAAGCGUGUUUGACGUUUGAUUCUGCUGAGCGCACAAGCCAUGUUCUGUGUGUCGUAGUUCAUUUGUGAGGUAAUGAGAUCUUCCCUGCUCAGGUUCAGCUGCCCUGAUUCUGUCUCCUCUAAAGGAGUUUUCCAGAUCUUUGCUGGACACUCCAACAGAUUCUUGAUGUUAGGACAAUGCCAAAUAUUUAAUAAUCAUUUCAGCACCUGUUCUGCAGCUCAUAUGAGCUCAGUUCCUCAUAUUCACUUUAUAUUAUAUUAUAUUAUAUUAUAAUUUGAGGUUAUGUAAUCCAAAUACAGUUCAUAAUGUAAUAUAAUAAAUUAAUUUGAUGGUAUAUGUAUAUUAUUAUAAUGUAUAUUGUAUUAUAAUAAUUUAAAAGAUUAUUUAAACUGAAUAUAUUAAAUGAAUAUGAAAAGGACUCGAGGUGAUAGUAGUGUAUACAGGUUCAUUGGUUUAUAUGUUAAGUCUAGUAUGGAGGUGUUAUUACUUGAUUUGCUAUAGAUAGAUGGAAA